This 497-nucleotide ribosomal RNA is filed under the name Xenorhina oxycephala (Schlegel's snouted frog). RNAcentral describes it as "partial 16S ribosomal RNA". Lineage: Eukaryota; Metazoa; Chordata; Amphibia; Anura; Microhylidae. The record is from RNAcentral.
UAGAGAUAGCUGGUUAUUCAAGAAAAGGAUAUUAGUCCAACUUUAAGCUUUUAAAUAACACCAAUAUAUUAAUAAACUUAAAAUUUAUUCAAAUAAGGUACAGCCUAUUUGAAACAGGAUACAACCUACAACAGCGGGUACAUCUAAAUAAAUGUAAUAAAGUAGGCCUAAGAGCAGCCACCUUUUAAAUAGCGUCAAAGCCUCAUUACACCCCACUAUUAAUUCCAACCUAAACCAUAAACCCCUUACCAAUAUUGAAUGACUCUAUAAUUAUAUAGAAAACUUUAUGUCUGAACUAGUAACAAGAAUAACUUCUCCACAACGUAAAUGUAGGCCGGGGUGAACCCCUCACCGGCACUUAUCGCCAAUGAACUUAUAGUAAUAACCAAACAAGAAAACCUUACUAUUUUAGGCGUUAACCUUACACUAGAACUCUCCUGGAAAGAUUAAAAAAAGAGGAAGGAACUCGGCAAAUAUUUAUCCCGCCUGUUUACCAA